RNAcentral lists this ribosomal RNA (393 nucleotides) under uncultured Nitrospina sp. Its description in RNAcentral is "bacterial SSU rRNA". It matches the Rfam family "Bacterial small subunit ribosomal RNA", at positions 29 to 410 of the family's 1533-position model. The record is from RNAcentral. Lineage: Bacteria; Pseudomonadati; Nitrospinota; Nitrospinia; Nitrospinales; Nitrospinaceae.
AACGAACGCUGGCGGCGUGCUUAACACAUGCAAGUCGAACGAGAAAGUUUCCUUCGGGAAGCUAGUAAAGUGGCGCAAGGGUGAGUAACACGUGAAUAAUCUGCCCUCGAGAUCGGGAUAACCCUGGCGAAAGCUAAGCUAAUACCGGAUAAGACCACUAUUUUCAUAAGAAAUGAGGUAAAAGGAGUCUCAACCUUCACUCGAGGAUGAGUUCGCGGACCAUUAGCUUGUUGGUGAGAUAAAAGCUCACCAAGGCUACGAUGGUUAGCCGGCCUGAGAGGGUGAUCGGCCACACUGGAACUGAGACACGGGUCCAGACUCCUACGGGAGGCAGCAGUGGGGAAUAUUGCGCAAUGGGCGAAAGCCUGACGCAGCAACGCCGUGUGAGCGAUG